This 59-nucleotide transfer RNA is filed under the name Erinaceus europaeus (western European hedgehog). It matches the Rfam family "tRNA", at positions 7 to 64 of the family's 71-position model. From Rfam's summary of the family: Transfer RNA (tRNA) molecules are approximately 80 nucleotides in length. Their secondary structure includes four short double-helical elements and three loops (D, anti-codon, and T loops). The record is from Rfam by way of RNAcentral. Lineage: Eukaryota; Metazoa; Chordata; Mammalia; Eulipotyphla; Erinaceidae.
GAGGUUCAGUGGUAGAACAUAUGCUUUUCAUGCUUGAGGCCCUGGGUUUAAUUCCUAGC